RNAcentral lists this ribosomal RNA (465 nucleotides) under uncultured bacterium. RNAcentral's name for it is "partial 16S ribosomal RNA". It matches the Rfam family "Bacterial small subunit ribosomal RNA", at positions 339 to 795 of the family's 1533-position model. The record is from RNAcentral.
CUACGGGCGGCUGCAGUGGGGAAUAUUGGACAAUGGGGGAAACCCUGAUCCAGCAAUGCCGCGUGUGUGAAGAAGGCCUGCGGGUUGUAAAGCACUUUCGGUUGGGAGGACUGCUUCUAGCACUAAUAUUGUUGGAAGUUGACGUUACCUUCAGAAGAAGCACCGGCUAACUCCGUGCCAGCAGCCGCGGUAAUACGGAGGGUGCAAGCUUUAAUCGGAAUUACUGGGCGUAAAGCGCGCGUAGGCGGCUAGAUCAGUCGGGUGUGAAAGCCCCGGGCUUAACCUGGGAACUGCAUCCGAUACUGUCUAGCUUGAGUACAGGAGAGGAGAGUAGAAUUCCACAUGUAGCGGUGAGAUGCGUAGAUAUGUGGAGGAACACCAAUGGCGAAGGCAGCUCUCUGGCCUGAUACUGACGCUGAGGUGCGAAAGCGUGGGGAGCAAACAGGAUUAGAUACCCGUGUAGUC